Molecule: ribosomal RNA, 746 nt
Filed under: Hyla meridionalis (Mediterranean treefrog)
Lineage: Eukaryota; Metazoa; Chordata; Amphibia; Anura; Hylidae
Description: partial 16S ribosomal RNA
Rfam family: Bacterial large subunit ribosomal RNA
Source: RNAcentral
CGCCUCUUGACUUAAUAUAAGAGGUCCAGCCUGCCCAGUGACUCUGUUCAACGGCCGCGGUAUCCUAACCGUGCGAAGGUAGCGUAAUCACUUGUUCUUUAAAUGAGGACUAGUAUGAAUGGCACCACGAGGGUUACACUGUCUCCUUUUUCUAAUCAGUGAAACUAAUCUCCCCGUGAAGAAGCGGGGCAUGAAUUUAUAAGACGAGAAGACCCUAUGGAGCUUUAGACUUAAUAACACUCGCUUUUAAACAAUUACACUUCAGAGUAAUAAACAUUUAUCUUAGCUUUUUGAUUAUUAGUUUUAGGUUGGGGUGACCGCGGAGCAAAAAACAACCUCCACAUUGAACGGGGGAACACCCCCUGAGCUACGAGCCACAACUCUAUGCACCAAUAAAUUGACAUUACUUGACCCAAUAUAUUGAUCAACGAACCAAGUUACCCUAGGGAUAACAGCGCAAUCCGCUUAAAGAGCUCCUAUCGACAAGCGGGUUUACGACCUCGAUGUUGGAUCAGGGUAUCCCAGUGGUGCAGCCGCUACUAAAGGUUCGUUUGUUCAACGAUUAAAACCCUACGUGAUCUGAGUUCAGACCGGAGUAAUCCAGGUCAGUUUCUAUCUAUAAAGAGCUUUUUCUAGUACGAAAGGACCGAAAAAACAUGGCCCAUACACAAUGCAAGCCAUACUUAAUAAUUUAUGACUUAAACUCAAUAAAUAAUUAAUCUUCCACAAAACUCUAAACAAGAGUA